This 918-nucleotide long non-coding RNA is filed under the name Homo sapiens (human). RNAcentral describes it as "HSALNT0367654". The record is from RNAcentral. Lineage: Eukaryota; Metazoa; Chordata; Mammalia; Primates; Hominidae.
UCCUGAAAGGCUGGUCUCACUCCUACUGUGCUCCUGCAACAGCACCAAGUAUAUUUCCAGGCAACUGGUGAGCAGGGCUGAGAACUUGCCCCAGACCACAAGUCUCCCAGCUGAGAAAGCACAGCUCCUCAGUUGUCCCACAGAGCCUGCAGUGGCAAUCCACCUCCUUCAAAAGUUCUGUGAAUUCUCUCAGCUUUCCUGGACAGGCUAGAUGCUGACAGCUUGAUCUUGGACCUCAAGUUUUCCGAAUUGUGAUAAAUAGAUGUUUAUAAUAAAGCCACCCAGUCUGUGGUAUCUUGUUGUGAUAGCUGGACCUGACUAAUACACAGGGCAUGUGGCAAGUUUAAGGGGAAGAUGUCUUUCUGAAACAUUUGAAUCAAUCAGAAGUUCUUUUGGAACAACUAAGGAAAGAUGUCAGCUUGCUGCCUCAAAAUGCUGUUUGAUGACACUGGUUUAGAAAAUAGAAAACAGAUUUUUCUUUUCUCCGAAGAAAUAGAAAACUUUCCUCUGUACUCCAAGGGAUAUACAGGAAGAAUAGAAAUAUGAAUUUGAACUGUGACUAAGAGUCAGCAUGUACUUUCCCUUCUCUGGAAAAAGAAAAGAAAAAAGCUGGAGAAGUAAAGCUCAGAAGCACGGUUGGGUAUGGCUGAGUUAAGUAGACUACAUGAAAAAUAAACAGUCAACAAUCUUACAGAGAAAAUGAAUUUUGCUCUUUGAUGUAAGAAAAAGCCCACUCACCUUUAUUUUUAAAAUGUCCUGAGUUGAGGUAAACAAUAUCUAUUUUUGCUAUUAAAAAAUUCUAUUUCUGUCUGAUAUUUUUCCCAAUUGAUAGAAAUCAGAAGAACACUCCUAGAGAAAUUAACACUAAAAUGCAAAAGCACUGUAAUAGCUCCUCUUUGAUAUUAUGAAUUGACUUUA